RNAcentral lists this ribosomal RNA (579 nucleotides) under Klebsiella aerogenes. RNAcentral describes it as "partial 23S ribosomal RNA". It matches the Rfam family "Bacterial large subunit ribosomal RNA", at positions 2261 to 2844 of the family's 2925-position model. Lineage: Bacteria; Pseudomonadati; Pseudomonadota; Gammaproteobacteria; Enterobacterales; Enterobacteriaceae. The record is from RNAcentral.
GUGGGUAGUUUGACUGGGGCGGUCUCCUCCCAAAGAGUAACGGAGGAGCACGAAGGUUAGCUAAUCCUGGUCGGACAUCAGGAGGUUAGUGCAAUGGCAUAAGCUAGCUUGACUGCGAGCGUGACGGCGCGAGCAGGUGCGAAAGCAGGUCAUAGUGAUCCGGUGGUUCUGAAUGGAAGGGCCAUCGCUCAACGGAUAAAAGGUACUCCGGGGAUAACAGGCUGAUACCGCCCAAGAGUUCAUAUCGACGGCGGUGUUUGGCACCUCGAUGUCGGCUCAUCACAUCCUGGGGCUGAAGUAGGUCCCAAGGGUAUGGCUGUUCGCCAUUUAAAGUGGUACGCGAGCUGGGUUUAGAACGUCGUGAGACAGUUCGGUCCCUAUCUGCCGUGGGCGCUGGAGAAUUGAGGGGGGCUGCUCCUAGUACGAGAGGACCGGAGUGGACGCAUCACUGGUGUUCGGGUUGUCAUGCCAAUGGCAUUGCCCGGUAGCUAAAUGCGGAAGAGAUAAGUGCUGAAAGCAUCUAAGCACGAAACUUGCCCCGAGAUGAGUUCUCCCUGAGACUUUAAGUCUCCUGAAGGA